Non-coding RNA from Nitrospina gracilis 3/211, 364 nucleotides. It matches the Rfam family "transfer-messenger RNA". From Rfam's summary of the family: Bacterial tmRNA, also known as 10Sa RNA or SsrA, is named for its dual tRNA and mRNA-like properties. Its role is to liberate the mRNA from a stalled ribosome. Lineage: Bacteria; Pseudomonadati; Nitrospinota; Nitrospinia; Nitrospinales; Nitrospinaceae. The record is from Rfam.
GGGGGCGAUCUGGAUUCGACGGGAGUAAGGAGACGAAGGUUGCAUGCAGGGGAUACCGUUGGCCCCUUAAAAAACGGUACAAAACAUAAUCGCCAAUGAUUAUGAAGUAGCUGUAGCUGCGUAACUAACCCUUACCGGCUACCGUCCCGUCCUCUUCGGUCCGCGAGGAGGAUAUGGACGUCAUCUCUGCGGACUCGCUGUACACUUCGCGUCUCGGGAGUGUGUGGUUAAACUUUAGAGGCUGGCUGGAAUGCAAUCCUGUUCGCGGGAGUAAUUCCGGUGAGAUCCAAAACGCGGACUAAGCAUGUAGACGCCUUUUGUUGAAGACUUCCGGACGGGGGUUCAAUUCCCCCCGCCUCCACCA